Molecule: long non-coding RNA, 102 nt
Filed under: Polistes fuscatus (common paper wasp)
Lineage: Eukaryota; Metazoa; Arthropoda; Insecta; Hymenoptera; Vespidae
Description: uncharacterized LOC122515676
Source: RNAcentral
UUCUUUUCUUGUACAAAUUGUAUUGUCAAGCCUCGUACCAGAGAUGCCAUGUGAAUCAUUUAGCAAAUAGAAUGCAGCAGCAGUGUAAAGGAUCUUUUAAAA